This 855-nucleotide ribosomal RNA is filed under the name uncultured bacterium. RNAcentral describes it as "bacterial SSU rRNA". It matches the Rfam family "Bacterial small subunit ribosomal RNA", at positions 28 to 897 of the family's 1533-position model. The record is from RNAcentral.
GAUGAACGCUGGCGGCGUGCCUAAUACAUGCAAGUCGAACGAAGUUGUUGUAGCAAUACGAUAACUUAGUGGCGAACGGGUGAGUAACGCGUUGGUGACCUGCCCCGAAGAGGGGGAUAACAGUCCGAAAGGAUUGCUAAUACCCCAUAAUGUCACCGGUUUUAGAAUCUGGUAACGAAAGUCGCAAGACACUUUGGGAGGGACCUGCGUCCCAUCAGCUAGUUGGUAAGGUAACGGCCUACCAAGGCGAUGACGGGUAGGGGACCUGAGAGGGUGGACCCCCACAAUGGCACUGAAACACGGGCCAUACACCUACGGGUGGCAGCAGUAGGGAAUAUUGCUUAAUGUGCGAAAGCGCGAAGCAGCAACGCCGCGUGUGUGAUGAAGGCCUUCGGGUCGUAAAACACUUUUUUGAAGGAUGAGGAAGGACAGUACUUCAAGAAUAAGCCUCGGCUAACUACGUGCCAGCAGCCGCGGUAACACGUAGGAGGCGAGCGUUAUCCGGAUUUACUGGGCGUAAAGCGCGUGUAGGCGGUUCGGUAAGUUGGAUGUGAAAGCUCCUGGCUUAACUGGGAGAGGUCGUUCAAUACUACCGGACUUGAGAGUGGUAGAGGAAGGUGGAAUUCCGCGUGUAGUGGUGAAAUGCGUAGAUAUGCGGAGGAACACCAGUGGCGAAAGCGGCCUUCUGGCCCACUUCUGACGCUCAGACGCGAAAGCUAGGGGAGCAAACGGGAUUAGAGACCCCGGUAGUCCUAGCUGUAAACGAUGUGAACUUGGCGUUGGUGGGUUCAAAUCCAUCAGUGCCGUAGCUAACGCGAUAAGUUCACCGCCUGGGGACUACGGCCGCAAGGUUAA